This 325-nucleotide ribosomal RNA is filed under the name uncultured eukaryote. RNAcentral describes it as "partial 18S ribosomal RNA". It matches the Rfam family "Eukaryotic small subunit ribosomal RNA", at positions 1470 to 1796 of the family's 1831-position model. The record is from RNAcentral.
CCCUUAGAUGUUCUGGGCUGCACGCGUGCUACAAUGGCGCUUGCAACAAGUCUUGCCAACCCGAUAGGGUGAGCGGAUCUUUGAAGAGGCGUCGUGAUCGGGACAGUUGAUUGCAAUUAUUCGACUCGAACGAGGAAUUCCUUGUAAUCGCGAUUCAUCAUAUCGCGCUGAAUACGUCCCUGCCCUUUGUACACACCGCCCGUCGCUCCUACCGAUUGGAUUGGCUGGUGAAGCGUUCGGAUUGUGGGUUCGGAGCGGUUCGCCGUUCUGGGCUUGCGAGAAGUUCGUUAAACCCUCCUAUCUAGAGGAAGGAGAAGUCGUAACA